This 490-nucleotide ribosomal RNA is filed under the name uncultured bacterium. RNAcentral describes it as "SSU rRNA". It matches the Rfam family "Bacterial small subunit ribosomal RNA", at positions 26 to 521 of the family's 1533-position model. The record is from RNAcentral.
AGAACGAACGUUGGCGGCGUGGAUUAGGCAUGCAAGUCGAACGAAUCCCAUCCUUGUAGCAAUACCGGGGUGGGGGAAGUGGCGAAAGGGGCAGUAAUGCAUGGGUAACCUACCUUGGGGAUGGGCAUAGCCGUUCUAACGAACGGGUAAUACCCAGCGAUUUGACGGGAGGGCAUCCUUCUGUCAGGAAAUGAGUUUCGCCUCGAGAGGGGCCCAUGUCGUAUUAGCUAGUUGGUGGGGUAACGGCCUACCAAGGCAAAGAUGCGUAGCGGGUGUGAGAGCACGACCCGCGCCACUGGCACUGAGACACUGGCCAGACACCUACGGGUGGCUGCAGUCGAGGAUCUUCGUCAAUGGGCGCAAGCCUGAACGAGCGACGCCGCGUGCACGAUGAAGGCCUUCGGGUUGUAAAGUGCGAAAGGUGGGAGAAAGCCGCAAGGUUGAUCGAUCCACAGUAAGGACGGGCUAAGUUCGUGCCAGCAGCCGCGGU